CAGGGACGGGAUGGGGGCCCUGCAGCGGGGCUGCUGUGAGAGGAACACCCCAAAAGCAGAGGCAGAGCCCUGCCCUGCAGUGCUGGCAGUGCCAUGUCACACUCAGUGCUAUGCCAGGCUCAGCCCCGUGCUGCCUGGAGACCAUGAUGCUCCAGGACAGGAGCAGCUCUGCACGGCCUGCUCUGUAUUUCAGGAUGUUCCAGGGAUGUUCCAGGCUGAAGGCAGGAAGGGGACACAGCACCAUGUGGGAAAUGCAGUGGCACAGACCUUGAUGCAUGUUGUGGGUUGGUUGGUCAGAUGAAUGAUGCUGCCUCCUGCAGCUCCCAUUCCCCAUGGCUGUGCCCCAGGAGCUCAAGGCAUUAGGAGCAGAGCCUGUGCAGGGUUCCUGGCAGGACUGGAGCUUUCGUCCAGAUUGCAGAUGCCCAAAAUAUCUGUAUUCUGGGUGAGCAGACUGAGGCUGAAGUGCCCGUGGUUGGCUGAUUGAAGAGGACAUAGGGGAAUGCAGAGAGACAGACAGACAGACAGAGGAAAGGUGCCUGAGCAUGUAUGGCAGCAAUAGGAUGGGGGAUGCCCCUGGGGUCUGCCCCAUCUCCAGGCACGCCUCCCACACCAGCAUGGGAUAUUUUUGCUGUUUUGCUCAGUCUGCUGAAGCCUGAGCUCAGCCCAGGACAUGGUUUUACCCCAGAUUAGCUUGUGCUACCAGCCACUAAAUUUGAUUGCAUUAUGCUAUCAGAUGUUAUUUGUUAUGUUAUGCUUCUCAUUUUAAAUUACAUUCUAAACUGUAUUUCACCUGGCACCUUCAGGAGCCAGGAUUUUGUGAAAUUAAAGUUAAAAUGCCAGUUGAAAUAAGGCAUUUAUAUGAAUGCACACAGCUACUGGUAAAAACCAAGUGUUUGUUCAUAUAUACAUGUUUCUAAUCAGGUUUAUAAUGUAUAUAAUAUAAAAGUUUUUCUACAUAUAAAAUUCACUGGAAACAGGAAACCAAAUUAGUUUACCUUACUAAAGUGGCAUGAAAUAAAGAGCAGUCUACACUGUUGAAAAGAAGGUAGGAUGUGGUUUUUGGAGGACUUUUCUUCCCCUGAGGGCUCGUUCUACCAUGUUUAUGUCUAAAACCUGAUAAUUUUAAAGCCAGCUCACAGGAGACUAAUGGCAUGACUCAUUUAUUUCAUUUCACUUUCAUUUUGCAGAGCUCAGGGUUUGUUUAAGGUGCUCACAUGUCAGCAGCUCAUGCAGACACACCAGUGGAUGCUACAGGGGACCACAGGGUGUAUGCACACUCUGACUCCCCCUGUUUAUCCAUGAGCAGGAGCCACUCCAAUGAGCUGAGUCUGAUUUUAAAAGAUCUUUUGAAUGUUGAACAUGUAAUGAGAUGCUCAGCGCUAUUUUCAAACCAAGACAUGUUCCUGGCUGAUUUACAAAAAGCCACAGUCUCCACUUUUAUGUGGGCAAAUGAUUUUAAAAACUGGGUCCUGGGAUUUUGGGUGCUCAUCGAUUCACCCUCUGACAAGCCUCUGUCUCUGACCUUUCCAUUACCAACUUUUCCAUCUCCAACUGCUUCAUCAUCCUCCUGAGCAUGGGUACACAGCUAAUAAAUCUGAGUCUUUAAUUGCCCUCCCACACUGUGUGGCUUUAUCUGAGCCAUCAUUCCUGUUGCUGUGCUGUGUUGCAUCUUCCUGCUUCCAGGUUUGUGCUGCUGGAGGCAGCAAAAGGAUAGAACUGUUAUUUAGUUUGGGUUUAGGUACAAAUCCCUGCAGUACCACACUCCAUGGCUGCAUGGCCCCACACGAUGUGUCAGACAUGGCUGAGUUUUGGACAGACCCUCUGCUUUUAUCUCAUGCAAGGUCUCAUUUUUUGAUUCUUUAUGCAGCUGAAACCACACAAAAAAUGUGUUUAGGGAAAAAAAUCCCCACAAAUCCACCAUAAAUUCCCCUGCUAAAGCCAUCAGUAAGGGUGAAGGGUCCUGCUGGCCCAGUGGUGCCAGGACCACUGAGGUGGAAAAGCCUCAGGUCCCAAAAACACCCAAUGCCUCUGCAUAAAAGGGAGAUUUAUUGAUUCCCCUCCAGUUUAUCCCCCUGCCAGGAGGUUUCCCACAGCCCUCCAGGAGUGGUGCAGCAGUAUCAGCAGGCACAGGUCUAUCAGGCUGAGCAGAAGCUUUUCCAGGAACUAUCUAGUGAAACACGUGACAGUGCCCAGCUGAAGGGUGAUACGUGACAGGCAUUCACCAGGUUCCUGGCCAGUCAGUUGACUUUGUUAUUCAAACUAUUUUAGUGAUGGGUUUUAAUCCCAGGCUUAAGUUUUGUUCUAUUUUUCUUUUUUUUCCUCCCUCUUCUUUUUUUGCUCUCUGAACAAGGGAAUCUCUACGCUGGCAAGAUUCAGAGAGGCACAAAGGAGGGAAAAACAAGUUUCAGCCAGAAGAGAGGGAAAAAAAAAAAAAAAAGGAUGCUGUUAGCAUUCCCUGUAUUUGAGGGGGUAAAAACAUUUUGCUGUCAACUCUGUUUUAAAGGGUAAGUGACAAGGGCAGCCCAGUUACUAUGCAAAUAAAUCCUGUGCUCAGCC
Molecule: long non-coding RNA, 2556 nt
Organism: Cyanistes caeruleus (blue tit)
Lineage: Eukaryota; Metazoa; Chordata; Aves; Passeriformes; Paridae
Source: RefSeq, a predicted model, not a curated record